UUUACAAGCCCAAGCCCAUUUAUUAAAACCCAUUUCACAUGCCCAGUAAUCAAAACCUAGAAACCUAGGUAAAGAUAUUUAUACCAUCUUUUCACACAUUUCAGUCUAUUUUUUCGUCGCGGCCAUAACUCAGGCAACAUACAUCAACAAUGAUCUCUUCUCCCCAAAAAAUCACCACACUAUAUGUUCAAAAAAUCCUAGAUUCCAAAAAUCCAGACGCUUGUCAUGAUGGUUUAGUCAUAUCUUC
Long non-coding RNA from Arabidopsis thaliana (thale cress), 247 nucleotides. RefSeq annotates it as other RNA. NCBI's taxonomy places the organism in Eukaryota, Viridiplantae, Streptophyta, Magnoliopsida, Brassicales, Brassicaceae. The transcript has a single exon. The record is from RefSeq.